CUACGGAGGCUGCAGUAGGGAAUAUUGCGCAAUGGGGGAAACCCUGACGCAGCAAUACCGUGUGAGUGAGGACGGCCUUCGGGUUGUAAAGCUCUGUCAAUGUGGAAAAACGGCCAGUCAUCUAAUAGGUGAUUGGAUUGAUGGUACACAUAAAGGAAGCACCGGCUAACUUCGUGCCAGCAGCCGCGGUAAUACGAAGGUGCAAGCGUUGUUCGGAUUUAUUGGGCGUAAAGCGCGCGCAGGCGGACUACCAAGUCAGAUGUGAAAUCUCGGGGCUCAACUCCGAAAGUGCGUCUGAAACUGAUAGUCUAGAAUGUUGAAGGGGGAAGGAGAAUAUCGCAUGUAGGGGUAAAAUCCGUAGAGAUGCGAUGGAAUACCAGAGGCGAAGGCGCCUUCCUGGCCAACAAUUGACGCUGAGGCGCGAAAGCGUGGGGAGCAAACAGGAUUAGAUACCCCGGUAGUC
RNAcentral lists this ribosomal RNA (463 nucleotides) under uncultured bacterium. RNAcentral's name for it is "partial 16S ribosomal RNA". It matches the Rfam family "Bacterial small subunit ribosomal RNA", at positions 339 to 795 of the family's 1533-position model. The record is from RNAcentral.